GCCUUCGUGGUGUAACUGGAAAGGACAUCAGACUAGAAAUCGGAAAGUCCAGAGUUAGAAUCCCAGCGAAGGCA
Molecule: transfer RNA, 74 nt
Filed under: Stegodyphus mimosarum
Lineage: Eukaryota; Metazoa; Arthropoda; Arachnida; Araneae; Eresidae
Rfam family: tRNA
About the family: Transfer RNA (tRNA) molecules are approximately 80 nucleotides in length. Their secondary structure includes four short double-helical elements and three loops (D, anti-codon, and T loops).
Source: Rfam by way of RNAcentral